RNAcentral lists this ribosomal RNA (390 nucleotides) under uncultured Chrysophyceae. Its description in RNAcentral is "partial small subunit ribosomal RNA". It matches the Rfam family "Eukaryotic small subunit ribosomal RNA", at positions 30 to 432 of the family's 1831-position model. Lineage: Eukaryota; Chrysophyceae. The record is from RNAcentral.
GCUUGUCUCAAAGAUUAAGCCAUGCAUGUCUAAGUAUAAACGACUUUAUACUGUGAAACUGCGAAUGGCUCAUUAUAUCAGUUAUAGUUUAUUUGAUGGUCCUUGCUACUUGGAUAACCGUAGUAAUUCUAGAGCUAAUACAUGCAUCAAACCCCGACUUCUGGAAGGGGUGUAUUUAUUAGAUGGAAACCAAUGCAGGGCAACCUGGAAUAUGGUGAUUCAUAAUAACUCGCGGAUCGGUUUACCGAUGCAUCAUUCAAGUUUCUGCCCUAUCAAUUGGCGAUGGUAGGAUAGAGGCCUACCAUGGUGUUAACGGGUGACGGGGGAUUAGGGUUCGAUUCCGGAGAGGCAGCCUGAGAAACGGCUACCACAUCCAAGGAAGGCAGCAGG